Molecule: non-coding RNA, 72 nt
Organism: Salmo salar (Atlantic salmon)
Lineage: Eukaryota; Metazoa; Chordata; Actinopteri; Salmoniformes; Salmonidae
Source: Rfam
GGGUAUGGCUCAGUUGGUUGAGCAUGGUGCUUGCAACACCAGGAUUGUGGGUUCGAUUCCCAGGGCCACCCA